This is a long non-coding RNA of Brassica napus (rape), 1699 nucleotides long. RefSeq lists it as uncharacterized. NCBI's taxonomy places the organism in Eukaryota, Viridiplantae, Streptophyta, Magnoliopsida, Brassicales, Brassicaceae. The transcript is spliced from 4 exons. The record is from RefSeq and is a predicted model, not a curated record.
UUUUGGCGUCAGCGGCAGCGGCAGCGUCAGCGGCGGCGACAGCGUCAAUGAGGACAGUUGUUGUUCGUUUCGCAGACGCUGACGCUGCCGCAUAUCAUAUCGCGACCGCAGGUUUUAUCGGCGUCAGCCGCAGGACGCAGCGUUCGGACGCUGCCGCUGCCGCCGGUUCCUGCGUCAACGAAACGAACAAGAGUUGACGCAGAAUGUUGACGCUGCCGCUGCCGCCGAUACCUGCGGCAACCAAACGAACAGCCUUUACUUCUUUUGCGUGACGAAGGAUCGAUCAUUCGUGCCGUCGCUAACGAUCUGACCAAAAUUAAAGUUCUACUAUUCCGUCGCCUCUAUCCUCUCUCGAAGUGCUGCCAUGGUGCUUCUGCUCCUCCGGCGCGCUGCGAUCGCACGCACUUCUUCACUUCUCAGAGCUCGUCUUCUCACUCCUGCCUCCGGCUUCCACACUCGGUACGCUUUAUUCUCUUCCAUUCGUCUUCUCUCCAAGUUUCGGUGUUCCUCUUUUCCACUUGUGAUCCUUGCCAAUUCUAUUUCCAUGUUUUGUAAAAUAUUGGGGGAAUAAAUGUUUAUUCUUCUCUGAUUUUGUCUGUUUUACAUUAGGUCUGCCUCGAUAGACAUGAUUACAACUAUGAGUAAUAGUCCUCCAAAGUCCAUUCUCCGAUUUGGCUUUCAAAACUUCUCAUCAACAGGAUCCACACCACAGACGGUUCUUACAAUGCCAGCCUUGUCUCCUACAAUGAGUCAUGGUAAUAUUGCGAAAAAAAUUAACUAACAACUAACAAAAAAAAUUGGUUUUGGUUUACAAUUCUUCUCAUAGAUUUGUAUUUUCUUGAAUCCUGAGGUAUUUUUGUUUGCCAGUCCUCUGAAAAAUAAAUAAUUUCUUUACCAGCUGUCAAGAACUCAACUGGUGGGAUGACCAGGUCUACUACCACUCAUAACAUGAGUGGUAUACUGGAAUAUAACGUUAAUGUGAUUCAUAUCUAACUUGAUACAUAUAUCAUUUAUGCAUUGAGUUUGAUUUAUAAGAUAUACAUUUACGAAUCAAGUCACAUACCACUACCAAAACAGGUAAAAUAUACCAUUCAGUAUUCUAAAUAUAAUGUGAUGCAUAGUUGUAUAUAUGGUGAAUCAUGUUAGAAACAAAACAAAACAAAUAUGCGUAAAUGUAUAUCAUGUCUAUAAUAAGAAGUUUACGGAAUUUGUAAAAAUGUGAUAAUAAAUUGUAGAAAUUCAUAGCGAAAACUACCAUGGAUCCCAAAACCUUAAAUCUUACCAAAAAAAAAAGAAAAAAAAUUAAUAGCGAAAGUUUUACAUAAAAACCGUUUGACAUGAGUUUUCAUAAAAAUAUACUGGAUGUAGAAAUAUAUAUAACAUUUUUUGGGACAAACUGAAUGUAGAAUUAUUAGACUAGAAUUUCAUUAUCAAGUCGAAUUGUCAGUUGUGCGUGUCAUAAUUUAUAGUAAAACUAGUGUGGAAUUUUUUUUCCUUACUAAAAUAAACACAUUUACUUUCUUACUAAAAUAAACACAUUUAUUUUUGUUCUUACUAAAAUAAACACAAUUUGAUCGCCGGCUUUAACGUAUAAGUUUAACAUGUAUUAAAAUUAAAAUUUUGGGUUAAAAAUCAUGGAAGCAUAUGCUUCCGGCCUUGUAAAAGUUAUAUAUAAUUUCGGCCAACAAUAUCUAACUAG